AGGUUACAGUGAGCCAAGAUCAUGCCACUGUACUCCAGCCUGGCAACAGAGCGAGACUCUGUCUCAAAAAAAAAAAAAUAAAAUAACUGUGGCCGGGCGCGAUGGCUCAACCCUGUAAUCCCAGCACUUUGGGGGGCCGAGGCGAGUGGAUCACCUGAGUUCAGGAGUUCAAGACCAGCCUGGCCAACAUGGUGAAACCCCAUCUCUACUAAAAAUACAAAAAUUAGCUGAGCGUGGUGGCACAAGCCUAUAAUCCCAGCUACUCAGGAGGCUGAGGCAGGAGAAUCACUUGAACCCAGGAGGCAGAGGUUGCAGUGAGCCAAGAUCCUAGCUGGGCGUGGUGGUGGGCGCCUGUAAUCCCAGCUACUUGGGAGGCUGAGGCAGGAGAAUUGCUUAAACCUGGGAGGUGGAGGUUGCAGUGAGCCGAGAUCACGCCACUGCACUCCAGCCUGGG
This 454-nucleotide long non-coding RNA is filed under the name Pan troglodytes (chimpanzee). RNAcentral's name for it is "long non-coding RNA NONPTRT001233". Lineage: Eukaryota; Metazoa; Chordata; Mammalia; Primates; Hominidae. The record is from RNAcentral.